Molecule: long non-coding RNA, 3065 nt
Organism: Megalobrama amblycephala (Wuchang bream)
Lineage: Eukaryota; Metazoa; Chordata; Actinopteri; Cypriniformes; Xenocyprididae
Exons: 9
Source: RefSeq, a predicted model, not a curated record
CUUAAAAACAUUAUUAUCACAUACACAAAAACAUUCAAACUAAAUUGUGUUAAAAACAUGCUAGCAACAUGCUAAUUUAUGCCAGCAGCAUGCUAAAUCAUGCUAGAAACAUGCUAAUGCAUGCUAACAGUGUGCUAAAACAUACUAGCAAAAUGCUAAUUCAUGCUAGCAAAGUGUUAAAUCAUGCUAACAAUGUGCUAAAACAUGUUAAUUCAUGUUAACAAUUUCUUUUUCUUUCCACUUCACCAAAUUUAAAGAUUAUAAAGCUUUCAAACCUUCAUAGGGUGCAGAAACUUUCACUUUUCAAGGUGCAGAAUUAAGUGGGAAACCAUCAGGAACCCUUUAUUCUCUGCAACCUGCAACCUACCUGGAGUCUCCAGAAGUGUGAGGUGUCAGGAUCUCAGAGACUUAGGUUAGGCUUUAUAGACAGACAGAUCGAGAGUGGCUCUUGAAGCACCAGCACCAUCCUCUUUUAUCACUGUUUGAAGAAUUUAUCUUCCAAAAUCUGCCAGAGUGAGCAUGAACCCUCGAUCUUUAUUAGUCUCCUGAACAGCAGGACCACACGAUCAUCAUCUAAACAAGACAAAGGAGCAGACAACAUUAUAUAGACAAUACAUAUUGAUUGACUUGGUUUUCUUUACAUUCUCCUGUUUAAUGUUUAAUUCAUAAGUUGAUUUUUAAUGUUUAAAAAAUCUGUACAUUCUCAAAUAUAUUUAUUGCAGUCUCCAGUCUCACAGGGAUUAAACAUUUGGCAUUUCUCAAAAAUUGGACAUACUUUUUCGUUAAAGUAAUUGUAAAUUGUAAAUCUGUAAAACCUGUGAUUCGGCAAUCAAAUUGUGUCUGUUUUCAGUAUCUCUGCAUAUUUUUCCUGGGACUUUGCAUCUAUUUGCGUCUGGCACAUCUGAUGAUUUAAUAAUAGUGAUUGAUGACUAAGCUCUACACUCAAAACCAUUCACUCUUGCUGAAAAAUCAAACUUUGCCCUCAGACAUCACACACAAGCCCUCAAAAAUACACACCCUACAACAUAGUCUUACACACUGGUGAGAUAAAUUCAAAAGAAUACUACAAAAAACAAACACAAAAACCAGUAAUAAGUUGUGUUGCAUUGCAUUGUUCCAAAACUGAAUGAACUGACUCAAGCUCUUUUAUCUGUUUACUGAAGGUUCUGAUUGGUGUAUGGUAAUUUUGACUCUUAGUGUUUCUGUGGGUAACUGUGUGCUAAUUGAGCUCAAGCUACGCUGACUUGAGUGAAAAAUAUUGAAUGCUAGUGUUUUCUAAAUGACCACAUGGUGUAGGCAAUGAGAAAUGAAGGUAUUUGUGUGUACACUCUUAGAAAAAAAAGGUUCUUUGGGGUUCUAUAUAGAACCAUAGGGUUCUUUAACCAACUUUAUAGAACCCUUUCUGCCUAAAAGGUUCUAUAUAAGGAGAAAGAACCCUUUUGGCACAAAGGGUUCUUUGGGCUAAAUGUGCUUUAUAUACAUUAUUAGUGCUUUAUUUAAAUGAUUACACUAUUUAACAUUAUAUUUGUGUUUUUACUUCAAUUUUUACUUAGGCACACCUUUCAUUCUGAAUAAAACAAACUUACAUUUUCAAGUUUAAUAGGUUUAUUAGAAAAAAUAAUUUCCGCAUUAUCCUGUAAUGAAAAAAAAAAAAUCUAAAUUAAAUAUAGCCUACGUUGUUUCUGGAUCUAGGCGUUAGGGGCAGAAUUCUGCCAUCUGCUGAUAAAAGAAAAUCCUGUAGGAAUUAUUCUGAAAGUCAAUUCUUAUAACUCAACCCUCCAAACAGAUCCAUUAAACGAUCUUCGACAUAAACAGCAAAUAACUUGCAUGUGUAUGCGCUGAUCAGUUCUGUACUGUCUGCACGCGCAGUGUCGGACUUCAGCCGCGCGCUUCGUGCGCGAGUAAUUAGAAUGCGCGUGAACGCAGCAUUUUAAACUUCAACCGUUACGGACGUCCGUUUGAGCUCAGCGCUCGAGAGGACGACGAUUAAAUUGGUAAGUGAGAAAAUUAAUAUCUCUUACGUUAUUUUAAUUACAUUUGCCUAAAUCCUUGAUAUAUUUACACACCUUAACUGUUACGUUACAUGUUUUUUUUCAAGAAGCAAAAAGAACAAAUGUGGUUUACGGUGCUGUCCGGGCCUGCGUUAUUCUCCGCCAGGAGAUUAUAAAGCUUUCAAACCUUCAUAGGGUGCAGAAACUUUCACUUUUCAAGGUGCAGAAUUAAGUGGGAAACCAUCAGGAACCCUUUAGUCUCUGCAACCUGCAACCUACCUGGAGUCUCCAGAAGUGUGAGGUGUCAGGAUCUCAGAGACUUAGGUUAGGCUUUAUAGACAGACAGAUCGAGAGUGGCUCUUGAAGCACCAGCACCAUCCUCUUUUAUCACUGCUUGAAGAAUUUAUCUUCCAAAAUCUGCCAAAGCAAAAAGAACAAAUGUGGUUUACGGUGCUGUCCGGGCCUGCGUUAUUCUCCGCCAGGAGAUUGUAUUGGACCUAGAAAACGCAUAAGAAAACGAUGUUUCAGGAGCAGUCAAAUCACGUGAUCACAGCCAGACCGCAAGAGAAACCCCGAAGAACAAAGAGAGGAGCUGAUGAUGUUUCUUCUGUAGAUAUAGCUGGAUGGACUCUGGAGUGCAGCAUUACUUCAAUAAGAUGAAAAUAACACACUCCUCUAUGAUUCACGAUGUCAAGCCCCCUGAACGCAAAGAGAGUCUGCAUCAAAAUGGACGUGCCCCUGAUUGAAAACACAGAGAUGUCAAAAGUAUCUGUUGGCUGUCUACUUUUUGUUUAAUAUGGAGCAUCCAAAAGCCAUUUUCUUUCAUUCAGCACUAUUUAGCCCUUCUCAGUACUGAAUUUGCCAUGGGUCAUUUGUUUUUAUUGUUUAAAUGCUUAUCUGAAUGUUAAAUUAUCAUUUAACGCUUAUGAAUUUAAAAACAAUUCUACUAGCUAGUCUUUUAGUUCAUUUUUUUAGAAACAUUUAUGUUAACUCUUCUAACUAUUGCUCUAUGAAUUGCUGUGUGUUUUAUGUUGCUUGUGUCAUUGUAAAUGCUAAUAAAAAUGUCUUAAAUGA